GACGAACGCUGGCGGCGUGCCUAAUACAUGCAAGUAGAACGCUGAAGCUUGGUGCUUGCACCGAGCGGAUGAGUUGCGAACGGGUGAGUAACGCGUAGGUAACCUGCCUGGUAGCGGGGGAUAACUAUUGGAAACGAUAGCUAAUACCGCAUAAGAGUAGAUGUUGCAUGACAUUUGCUUAAAAGGUGCAAUUGCAUCACUACCAGAUGGACCUGCGUUGUAUUAGCUAGUUGGUGAGGUAACGGCUCACCAAGGCAACGAUACAUAGCCGACCUGAGAGGGUGAUCGGCCACACUGGGACUGAGACACGGCCCAGACUCCUACGGGAGGCAGCAGUAGGGAAUCUUCGGCAAAGGACGGAAGUCUGACCGAGCAACGCCGCGUGAGUGAAGAAGGUUUUCGGAUCGUAAAGCUCUGUUGUAAGAGAAGAACGAGUGUGAGAGUGGAAAGUUCACACUGUGACGGUAUCUUACCAGAAAGGGACGGCUAACUACGU
RNAcentral lists this ribosomal RNA (496 nucleotides) under uncultured bacterium. RNAcentral describes it as "partial 16S ribosomal RNA". It matches the Rfam family "Bacterial small subunit ribosomal RNA", at positions 28 to 506 of the family's 1533-position model. The record is from RNAcentral.